UACGGGGGGAGCAAGCGUUGUUCGGAUUUACUGGGCGUAAAGGGCGCGUAGGCGGCCAGCACAAGUCAGUUGUGAAAUCUCCGAGCUUAACUCGGAAAGGUCAACUGGUACUGUGCGGCUAGAGUGCGGAAGGGGCAACUGGAAUUCUUGGUGUAGCGGUGAAAUUCGUAGAUAUUCGCAAGAACACCAGUGGCGAAGGCGGCUCACCGGCCCGGUACUGACGCUGAGGUGCGAAAGCGUGGGGAGCAAACAGG
Molecule: ribosomal RNA, 254 nt
Filed under: uncultured bacterium
Lineage: Bacteria
Description: partial 16S ribosomal RNA
Rfam family: Bacterial small subunit ribosomal RNA
Source: RNAcentral